Molecule: ribosomal RNA, 176 nt
Filed under: uncultured bacterium
Lineage: Bacteria
Description: partial 16S ribosomal RNA
Rfam family: Bacterial small subunit ribosomal RNA
Source: RNAcentral
ACUCCUACGGGAGGCAGCAGUGGGGAAUCUUGGACAAUGGGCGCAAGCCUGAUCCAGCAAUAUUGCGUGAGUGAAGAAGGGCAAUUCCGCUCGUAAAGCUCUUUCGUCGAGUGCGCGAUCAUGACAUGACUCGAGGAAGAAGCCCCGGCUAACUCCGUGCCAGCAGCCGCGGUAAU